Molecule: ribosomal RNA, 20 nt
Filed under: Diaporthe henanensis
Lineage: Eukaryota; Fungi; Ascomycota; Sordariomycetes; Diaporthales; Diaporthaceae
Description: partial 18S ribosomal RNA
Source: RNAcentral
GGCCUGCGGAGGGAUCAUUG